AACGAACGCUGACGGCGUGCUUAACACAUGCAAGUCGCACGAGAAUUUCCGCCUUCGGGUGGAAUAGUAAAGUGGCGCACGGGUGAGUAACGCGUGGAUAAUCUGCCUUCAAGUAGGGAAUAACAUUGCGAAAGCGAUGCUAAUACCGUAUAAGCUCACGAUUUGACUAGUUGUGGGAAAAGAUGGCCUAGUCUAUGCUAUCGCUUGAAGAUGAGUCCGCGUACCAUUAGCUAGUUGGUAGGGUAAUGGCCCACCAAGGCGACGAUGGUUAGCUGGUCUGAGAGGAUGAUCAGCCACACUGGAACUGACACACGGUCCAGACUCCUACGGGUGCAG
Molecule: ribosomal RNA, 336 nt
Filed under: uncultured Pseudomonadota bacterium
Lineage: Bacteria; Pseudomonadati; Pseudomonadota
Description: bacterial SSU rRNA
Rfam family: Bacterial small subunit ribosomal RNA
Source: RNAcentral